AGGCGUGUUUGCUACCCAGCCCUUUGAACAAGGAGAUUUCAUCUUAGAAUACAGGGGUCAACUUCUGCCAGUAGAAAAAUGCCAAACAAGCAAGUACUCUGAAAAGGAGAGUACUUUUCUCUUUGACUUUGAAUGGCAGAAUCAUUACUGGUGUAUUGAUGCUUCAACAGAGGAUGGCUCUCUUGGAAGAUUAGUGAAUGACAACCAAAAGUCUCCAAACUGCACCAUGAAAAAAAUAAUAGUAAAUGAUGAGCCCCAUUUGUGCCUUUUUGCCAUCAAAAACAUAGAAAUGGGAACUGAAAUCGAUUACAACUAUGGUGAUUCUAAAUGGCCAUGGCGUGAAAAAGUGACAGGCUCUCAGGCUCCGGUUGAUGGUGGGCAGCUUGAACCAGACAGAAGUUUGCAGGACUCCUACCCUAAUGAUAGCAUCGAAUAACAUGCCAGCCUACAGGUGACAGGCUCUCAGGCUCCGGUUGAUGGUGGGCAGCUUGAACCAGACAGAAGUUUGCAGGACUCCUACCCUAAUGAUAGCAUCAAACAACAUGCCAGCCUACAGGUGACAGGCUCUCAGGCUUCGGUUGAUGGUGGGCAGCUUGAACCAGACAGAAGUUUGCAGGACUCCUACCCUAAUGAUAGCAUCGAACAACAUGCCAGCCUACAGGUGACAGGCUCUCAGGCUCCGGUUGAUGGUGGGCAGCUUGAACCAGACAGAAGUUUGCAGGACUCCUACCCUAAUGAUAGCAUCGAACAACAUGCCAGCCUACAGGUAA
Syngnathus typhle (broad-nosed pipefish) is the source of this 770-nucleotide long non-coding RNA. RefSeq lists it as uncharacterized. The transcript has 6 exons. Lineage: Eukaryota; Metazoa; Chordata; Actinopteri; Syngnathiformes; Syngnathidae. The record is from RefSeq and is a predicted model, not a curated record.